AGGUCCCAGGCUGCAGGUGAGGAAGGCAAAGGGGCUUCCAGCUCUCCUUGUACUGGCAGAGCAAAGGUGUUUAUGGUGGGUGAAAGGACCUCCUCUAACCCGAUAAUAGCAAAAACCUGGUGUUUCUGCUAAGAUCAUCUGUGGAGAGGGCAGGCCAAGGUACCUGGAGUGUGCCAGGUGCUGGAGCAAGAAAGAUUUGUACAUUGAGUACAGCAAGAUCAAUGCAAGCUCAAGAAACAGGGCAUUUUUCUACCUGACAUUAAACCUCAUCACUCUGUGCUCGAGGGAGACUGCAAACUAGACACAGAUUAUCCCAUGUACAGCCAUCCCAGUCAGCUUCUUCAGAGGGAAACCCGCACAGGCAGCGUUUCAAGGGUCCAGGCACAUCCCAGCAGUUAUUUUUCCUGCAGUCCUGCUGCAUCUGUGGCUCUUACACUGGAGUACACCUAACGCAUCCAGCUGCCCCGGAGCCAGGGCUUUACCUCUGUGCAUUCACCAUAAAACCCUGUUGUUCUGUGGGAACAUCUGCUCGUUUGUGCUCCACCCAAACACCCCACACAUUCUUCAGCAAUCUCUUUUUCUACAGGUCUGGCUGCUUUUUGCCAGCAGCAAUGUACACG
Molecule: long non-coding RNA, 620 nt
Organism: Melopsittacus undulatus (budgerigar)
Lineage: Eukaryota; Metazoa; Chordata; Aves; Psittaciformes; Psittaculidae
Exons: 3
Source: RefSeq, a predicted model, not a curated record